CCCUAGUAACUGCGAGUGAAGCGGGAAAAGCUCAAAUUUAAAAUCUGGUGGUCUUUGGCCAUCCGAGUUGUAAUUUAGAGAAGCGUCUUCCGCGCUGGACCGUGCACAAGUCUCCUGGAAUGGAGCGUCACAGAGGGUGAGAAUCCCGUCUUUGGCACGGACGUACCAGGGCUUUUGUGAUGCGCUCUCGAAGAGUCGAGUUGUUUGGGAAUGCAGCUCAAAAUGGGUGGUGAACUCCAUCUAAAGCUAAAUAUUGGCGAGAGACCGAUAGCGAACAAGUACCGUGAGGGAAAGAUGAAAAGCACUUUGGAAAGAGAGUGAAACAGUACGUGAAAUUGUUGAAAGGGAAACGCUUGAAGUCAGUCGCGUCGACCGAGACUCAGCCUUGCCUUGGCUUGGUGUACUUCUCGGCUGACGGGUCAGCAUCAAUUUUGCCCCUUGGAUAAUGGCGAGGGAAAUGUGACACCUUUACGGUGUGUUAUAGUCCCUCGUCGCAUGCAAGGGUCGGGAUUGAGGAACUCAGCACGCGCCUUUGGGUGUCGGGGCUUUGCCCACGAUACGUGCUUAGGAUGUUGGCGUAAUGGCUUUAAACGACCCGUCUUGAAACACGGACCAAGGAGUCUAACAUGCCUGCGAGUGUUCGGGUGGAAAACCCGUGCGCGCAAUGAAAGUGAAAGUUGGGACCUCUGUCGUGGAGGGCACCGACGCCCGGACCAGACCUUCUGUGACGGCUCUGCGGUAGAGCAUGUAUGUUA
RNAcentral lists this ribosomal RNA (755 nucleotides) under Russula messapica var. messapicoides. RNAcentral describes it as "partial large subunit ribosomal RNA". It matches the Rfam family "Eukaryotic large subunit ribosomal RNA", at positions 78 to 811 of the family's 3401-position model. The record is from RNAcentral. Lineage: Eukaryota; Fungi; Basidiomycota; Agaricomycetes; Russulales; Russulaceae.